Molecule: microRNA precursor, 82 nt
Filed under: Hippoglossus hippoglossus (Atlantic halibut)
Lineage: Eukaryota; Metazoa; Chordata; Actinopteri; Pleuronectiformes; Pleuronectidae
Description: microRNA hhi-mir-723 precursor
Gene: hhi-mir-723
Rfam family: mir-723 microRNA precursor family (bases 14-71)
Source: miRBase by way of RNAcentral
GGGCACGGAUAAAGGCAGUUUUGAUGAUGUUACUUCUUUUAUUUUAAGAAGACAUCAGAUAAAUCUGUGCUUAUCCUUGCUU